This 1003-nucleotide ribosomal RNA is filed under the name uncultured Lysobacterales bacterium. RNAcentral's name for it is "bacterial SSU rRNA". It matches the Rfam family "Bacterial small subunit ribosomal RNA", at positions 9 to 1001 of the family's 1533-position model. Lineage: Bacteria; Pseudomonadati; Pseudomonadota; Gammaproteobacteria; Lysobacterales. The record is from RNAcentral.
GAGUUUGAUCGUGGCUCAGAGUGAACGCUGGCGGUAGGCCUAACACAUGCAAGUCGAACGGUAACAGGUCUUUCGGGAUGCUGACGAGUGGCGGACGGGUGAGGAAUACAUCGGAAUCUGCUCAGUCGUGGGGGAUAACGCAUGGAAACGUGCGCUAAUACCGCAUACGACCUUCGGGUGAAAGCAGGGGAAUCUCUCGGGAUCCUUGCGCGAUUGAAUGAGCCGAUGUCGGAUUAGCUAGUUGGUAGGGUAAAAGCCUACCAAGGCCACGAUCCGUAGCUGGUCUGAGAGGAUGAUCAGCCACACUGGGACUGAGACACGGCCCAGACUCCUGCGGGAGGCAGCAGUGGGGAAUAUUGGACAAUGGGGGCAACCCUGAUCCAGCCAUACCGCGUGGGUGAAGAAGGCCUUCUGGGUUGUAAAGCCCUUUUGUUGGGGAAGAAAAACAACGGGUUAAUACCCCGUUGGUAUGACGGUACCCAAAGAAUAAGCACCGGCUAACUUCGUGCCAGCAGCCGCGGUAAUACGAAGGGUGCAAGCGUUACUCGGAAUUACUGGGCGUAAAGGGUGCGUAGGUGGUUGCGCCAGUCUGUCGUGAAAGCCCUGGGCUUAACCUGGGAAUGGCGAUGGAAACUGUGCAACUAGAGUGUGACAGAGGGUGGUGGAAUUCCUGGUGUAGCAGUGAAAUGCGUAGAGAUCAGGAGGAACAUUCGUGGCGAAGGCGGCCACCUGGGUCAACACUGACACUGAGGCACGAAAGCGUGGGGUGCAAACAGGAUUAGAUACCCUGGUAGUCCACGCCCUAAACGAUGCGAACUGGAUGUUGGGUCCAACUUGGGAUUCAGUAUCGAAGCUAACGCGUUAAGUUCGCCGCCUGGGGAGUACGGUCGCAAGACUGAAACUCAAAGGAAUUGACGGGGGCCCGCACAAGCGGUGGAGUAUGUGGUUUAAUUCGAUGCAACGCGCAGAACCUUACCUGGCCUUGACAUGCACGGAACCUUUG